CCAAAAAUCGAAUUUUUACGAAAUUGGCAUUUUUGGCCACUGUUAGGAAAGUCCAACUAACAGCGUUUUUUUAGA
RNAcentral lists this transfer RNA (75 nucleotides) under Monotomidae sp. KM-2017. Its description in RNAcentral is "tRNA-Pro". The record is from RNAcentral. Lineage: Eukaryota; Metazoa; Arthropoda; Insecta; Coleoptera; Monotomidae.